Molecule: ribosomal RNA, 581 nt
Filed under: uncultured bacterium
Lineage: Bacteria
Description: bacterial SSU rRNA
Rfam family: Bacterial small subunit ribosomal RNA
Source: RNAcentral
GGCGGACGGGUGAGUAAUGCGUGAGCAACCUGCCCUUCAGAGGGGGACAACAGUUGGAAACGACUGCUAAUACCGCAUAAUGUAUUCGGAAGGCAUCUUCUGAAUACCAAAGGAGAAAUCCGCUGAGGGAUGGGCUCACGUCUGAUUAGUUAGUUGGUGAGGUAACGGCUCACCAAGACUGCGAUCAGUAGCCGGACUGAGAGGUUGAACGGCCACAUUGGGACUGAGAUACGGCCCAGACUCCUACGGGAGGCAGCAGUGGGGAAUAUUGGGCAAUGGGCGAAAGCCUGACCCAGCAACACCGCGUGAAGGAAGAAGGCCUUCGGGUUGUAAACUUCUUUUAAGAGGGACGAAGAAGUGACGGUACCUCUUGAAUAAGCCACGGCUAACUACGUGCCAGCAGCCGCGGUAAUACGUAGGUGGCGAGCGUUAUCCGGAUUUACUGGGUGUAAAGGGCGCGUAGGCGGGAAUGCAAGUCAGAUGUGAAAUCCAGGGGCUUAACCCUUGAACUGCAUUUGAAACUGUAUUUCUUGAGUGUCGGAGAGGUUGACGGAAUUCCUAGUGUAGCGGUGAAAUGCGUA